CUCUUAUCCCGAGAGGUGGAGGGACUGGCCCAAUGAAACCCGGCAACCAUCCGGCAUUCCGGACAGGUGCUAAUUCCUGCAGAAGAUUUUCUUCUGGCAGAUAAGAG
RNAcentral lists this non-coding RNA (107 nucleotides) under Desulforamulus hydrothermalis. Its description in RNAcentral is "Desulfotomaculum hydrothermale SAM-I sequence". It matches the Rfam family "SAM riboswitch aptamer (S box leader)". Rfam says of the family: The SAM riboswitch is found upstream of a number of genes which code for proteins involved in methionine or cysteine biosynthesis in Gram-positive bacteria. The SAM riboswitch acts at the level of transcription termination control. The predicted structure consists of a complex stem-loop region followed by a single stem loop terminator region. RNAcentral also lists the same sequence under 1 other name. Lineage: Bacteria; Bacillati; Bacillota; Clostridia; Eubacteriales; Peptococcaceae. The record is from RNAcentral.